This 494-nucleotide ribosomal RNA is filed under the name Arthrobacter ulcerisalmonis. Its description in RNAcentral is "bacterial SSU rRNA". It matches the Rfam family "Bacterial small subunit ribosomal RNA", at positions 94 to 600 of the family's 1533-position model. The record is from RNAcentral. Lineage: Bacteria; Bacillati; Actinomycetota; Actinomycetes; Micrococcales; Micrococcaceae.
AGUGGCGAACGGGUGAGUAACACGUGAGUAACCUGCCCUUGACUCUGGGAUAAGCCUGGGAAACUGGGUCUAAUACCGGAUAUGACUCCUCAUCGCAUGGUGGGGGGUGGAAAGCUUUUGUGGUUUUGGAUGGACUCGCGGCCUAUCAGCUUGUUGGUGGGGUAAUGGCCUACCAAGGCGACGACGGGUAGCCGGCCUGAGAGGGUGACCGGCCACACUGGGACUGAGACACGGCCCAGACUCCUACGGGAGGCAGCAGUGGGGAAUAUUGCACAAUGGGCGAAAGCCUGAUGCAGCGACGCCGCGUGAGGGAUGACGGCCUUCGGGUUGUAAACCUCUUUCAGUAGGGAAGAAGCCGCAAGGUGACGGUACCUGCAGAAGAAGCGCCGGCUAACUACGUGCCAGCAGCCGCGGUAAUACGUAGGGCGCAAGCGUUAUCCGGAAUUAUUGGGCGUAAAGAGCUCGUAGGCGGUUUGUCGCGUCUGCUGUGAAAG